CAUCUAACAGAGUGUUGUAUG
RNAcentral lists this non-coding RNA (21 nucleotides) under Arabidopsis thaliana (thale cress). Lineage: Eukaryota; Viridiplantae; Streptophyta; Magnoliopsida; Brassicales; Brassicaceae. The record is from RNAcentral.